Molecule: transfer RNA, 81 nt
Filed under: Sphaerodactylus townsendi
Lineage: Eukaryota; Metazoa; Chordata; Lepidosauria; Squamata; Sphaerodactylidae
Description: tRNA-Cys
Rfam family: tRNA
About the family: Transfer RNA (tRNA) molecules are approximately 80 nucleotides in length. Their secondary structure includes four short double-helical elements and three loops (D, anti-codon, and T loops).
Source: RNAcentral
AGAGAUGUGGCUCAAUGGUAGAACACAUCUUUGCAUCAAGAAGGUCCCAGGAGGUCUCAGGUUCAAGCCCUGGCAUCUCUA